This 240-nucleotide long non-coding RNA is filed under the name Capsicum annuum. Its description in RNAcentral is "long non-coding RNA (CANN_LNC017604)". Lineage: Eukaryota; Viridiplantae; Streptophyta; Magnoliopsida; Solanales; Solanaceae. The record is from RNAcentral.
UGGAUUGCGUCUUUUAAAUGGUAUAAAACAUUAAAAGCAUCGUCAUAUUUCUACUAAUAUCUUUCAGUCUUGUUACAGCAAUGGGGUAUUCAAGUAUCUAUGUCCUGUGUACUUUGCAACACUGAUGAAGAAGAGAAUCUUAAUCCAUCUCCUAUUUUGAUGCUCUUAUUCCCAACAUAUGUGGCGAAAGCUGCUCACCUGGAUGGGGAUUAGUAGACAAAUAGACUCAUGGGAAGAGGA